Long non-coding RNA from Triticum aestivum (bread wheat), 1462 nucleotides. RefSeq lists it as uncharacterized. The transcript is spliced from 3 exons. Lineage: Eukaryota; Viridiplantae; Streptophyta; Magnoliopsida; Poales; Poaceae. The record is from RefSeq and is a predicted model, not a curated record.
CUCUUGCUAACGAGUUUCAGGUGAGUGGCACAAGUCCAAUAUGAAAUACUCCUCGGCUGCAGUCUCACACAGGCGAGAACACAUGCCCAUGGAAAGCCAUGCGCCUGACCUCCAUGUUAACCCCUGAUCUCCAUGUUAUGCCCAGCCAUGACUCAAACUGAAAGAGAAAAGAUUCAUUUGUUGUACUUCAUGCAGUCGUCGGUGUGGGAGGCCGUCAUGCUGUUGUGGAGGGCUCCAAGCGUACUGCCGCAGUAUUUAUACGACUACCCUCCCUGGUGCAUCCCGUAUAGCCGUACUUGCCUCCAUGUGCAGGAAACUAAAGGUAUAAAUUCGCCAUGUCGUUCCGAGGAGGAUUCUCCCAUCCGCAAGAACGGACCAGCAAAAAUCUCAAUCGACCAUACUUAUAGUGAGAACCGGCACACACAAGCGAGAACACAAGCACAUGGAAAGCCAUGCCCCUGAUCUCCAUGUUAUGCCCAGCCAUGGCUCAAAUUGAAAGAGGAAAGAUUCAUUUGUUGUACUAGAUGCAAUCGUCAGUAUGGGAGGCCGUCAUGCUGUUGUGGAGGGCUUCAAGGUUAGGUUCAAAGUAAUCAAGGAAGAAUGAGUGCUGCCAAGAGCUUCAGCGAGAUUGAUGCAUUGCCUUGCAUGUGGUUUUCCACUAAUUUCUCCUCUUUAAGAACAAUAUAUGUUGAUACGAUUUCUUUUGUAUUUCUUUUUGAUCCUACAAAAAGGAGCCUGCAAAUCGGUUCCUUAGAUAUUAUACUGAGUCAGUGUUAGGUAAUAGUUCAAAUAUUUGUAUUCUACUUUCACAGAAAAUAAUGAGAAAAUCAAUGCCAAAGGACGUUUCAAAUGCGGCAGCUGCGGUGUUGAAAAUAAUGAGAAAGUAAUCGGGUAUGCUCCCAUGUGGCACCACAUCAUGAAACUUUUCAGGGAUGCAUUCUAAGCAAAUAUUUUAAAAAGAAAUUCUAGCUAUCUUUCAGUAGAGGGCUCUUGCUUGGUUCUGGCAGGAACGAUCUGAUUGGUGUCAUACAAUGUGCAAGUGUACAUAUUGUACACAUUUUUCUCUUUAAUUUAGUAACUUUUGCGUUACGCAGGAAUGAGUUGUUGAAUGUGUUCUUAUGAUUCUUGCAAUAGUGGAAUAAAUAUUCAUAAUUCUUACAUGCGCGCCCAUGUAAAGAUUUAUUAUUCAGCCUUUAGGUGUACAUUGAAUUAUUUGUGUGUGCAUUCUAAAAUAAUUGUUAUUAUAUGCCUUUUUACCUACCGUUUUAUGGCUUAUAUUUCUAAAGGGUAUUACACAGAAGAUUCCCUAAUUUAGUUUCUCAAAAUCAUAUUUAACUAAGUGUUGUUUUUUUCAGGUGAAUACAUAUCUUUGGAGGAUUCUCGAUCAAGAAGCGAGGUUGCUCGACUGAUUUCUUACGUAAGCAUAACCAUGCAAAAUUAGUGUAAGUUGUUUAAAUUUAAA